RNAcentral lists this ribosomal RNA (468 nucleotides) under uncultured bacterium. RNAcentral's name for it is "partial 16S ribosomal RNA". It matches the Rfam family "Bacterial small subunit ribosomal RNA", at positions 28 to 507 of the family's 1533-position model. The record is from RNAcentral.
GACGAACGCUGGCGGCGUGCUUAACACAUGCAAGUCGAGCGGAAAGGCCAUGCUUUUGUGGGGUGCUCGAGUGGCGAACGGGUGAGUAACACGUGAGUAACCUGCCCUUGACUUUGGGGUAACUUCAGGAAACUGGGGCUAAUACCGGAUAGGAGCUCCUGCUGCAUGGUGGGGGUUGGAAAGUUUCGGCGGUUGGGGAUGGACUCGCGGCUUAUCAGCUUGUUGGUGUGGUAGUGGCUUACCAAGGCUUUGACGGGUAGCCCGCCUGAGAGGGUGACCGGCGACAUGUGGACUGAGAGACGGCCCAGACUGCGACGGGAUGCAGCAGUGGGGAGUAGUACGGAACGGGCGGAAGCCUGAUGCAGCAACGCCGCGUGCGGGAUGACGGCCUUCGGGUUGUAAACCGCUUUCGCCUGUGACGAAGCGUGAGUGACGGUAAUGUGUAAAGAAGCACCGGCUAACUACGUG